AGUGAAGCGGGAAAAGCUCAAAUUUAAAAUCUGGCGGUCUUUGGCCGUCCGAGUUGUAGUCUGGAGAAGUGCUUUCCGCGCUGGACCGUGUAUAAGUCUCUUGGAACAGAGCGUCAUAGAGGGUGAGAAUCCCGUCUUUGACACGGACUACCAGUGCUUUGUGAUGCGCUCUCAAAGAGUCGAGUUGUUUGGGAAUGCAGCUCAAAAUGGGUGGUGAAUUCCAUCUAAAGCUAAAUAUUGGCGAGAGACCGAUAGCGAACAAGUACCGUGAGGGAAAGAUGAAAAGCACUUUGGAAAGAGAGUUAAACAGUACGUGAAAUUGCUGAAAGGGAAACGCUUGAAGUCAGUCGCGUCUGCCGGAACUCAGCCUUCCUUUUGGUUGGUGCACUUUCUGGUAGACGGGCCAGCAUCGAUUUUGACCGUAGGAUAAGGGCUGGAGAAAUGUGGCACCUUCGGGUGUGUUAUAGUCUUCAGUCGCAUACUACGGUUGGGAUCGAGGACCGCAGCGCGCCGCAAGGCAGGGGUUCGCCCACUUUCGCGCUUAGGAUGCUGGCAUAAUGGCUUUAAACGACCCGUCUUGAAACACGGACCAAGGAGUCUAACAAACCUGCGAGUGUUUGGGUGGAAAACCCGAGCGCGUAAUGAAAGUGAAAGUUGAGACCUCUGUCGUGGAGGGCAUCGACGCCCGGACCUGACGUUCUCUGACGGAUCCGCGGUAGAGCAUGUUUGUUGGGACCCGAAAGAUGGUGAACUAUGCCUGAAUAGGGUGAAGCCAGAGGAAACUCUGGUGGAGGCUCGUAGCGAUUCUGACGUGCAAAUCGAUCGUCAAAUUGGGUAUAGGGGCGAAAGACUAAUCG
This 857-nucleotide ribosomal RNA is filed under the name Lentinus squarrosulus. Its description in RNAcentral is "partial large subunit ribosomal RNA". It matches the Rfam family "Eukaryotic large subunit ribosomal RNA", at positions 92 to 937 of the family's 3401-position model. The record is from RNAcentral. Lineage: Eukaryota; Fungi; Basidiomycota; Agaricomycetes; Polyporales; Polyporaceae.